GGCUGGUCCAAGUGCAGUGGUGUUUACAACUAAUUGUUCACAACCAGUUACACAUUUCUUUGUUCCUUCUCCACUCCCACUGCUUCACUUGACUAUCCUAGU
This is an unclassified non-coding RNA of Gorilla gorilla gorilla (western lowland gorilla), 102 nucleotides long. It matches the Rfam family "Y RNA". Rfam says of the family: Y RNAs are components of the Ro ribonucleoprotein particle (Ro RNP), in association with Ro60 and La proteins. The Y RNAs and Ro60 and La proteins are well conserved, but the function of the Ro RNP is not known. NCBI's taxonomy places the organism in Eukaryota, Metazoa, Chordata, Mammalia, Primates, Hominidae. The record is from Ensembl.